UCAGCAACACUAAUGUUACUUUCUGCCGUGUAACUUUCAUUUUUGCAGUUGAGCAGGAGAAAGCUUUCGAUUAGGCCUACGUCAAUUUGAAGACAAUUUAUAAUCUUCCAGCGCGAUGGUCACCUACAACUAGUUUCAGGAGGAGUCGAUAGAUUUAUUGAUUUUCUUUUUUACCAGGCGACAUUAUUACCCUAAUGUUUUAGUGUAGAAAAUCCAUUCACUUUUAACGAAUGUGUUAUUUUGACUUUGCACCUCUCAUGCUUUCCAAAAGCACUGUCUUUUGGACAAGCCUGUUGUGUCUCUCGCUGUUUCCAGAUGAAUGUCUGACCAGGACUCUGACUGCACACAUUGGUGAAUCAGUGCUCUUCAAUGUGUCCUGCUCUCCAAGUGAACAACCGUACAUCUCUGUCUGGCAGAGGAAUGAAACUGUUGUCUAUAACUUCGGAUCCGAAAGAUUUCCUGAUACCCAUUACAAUGACAGGACUCAGAUGUUUCUGGAAAAGCAUAAACAAAAUUGCUCCCUGGUCAUAACUAACAUAUUGCUAUCAGAUGAAGGAACAUACAAAUUAUUUUACAAACGUACUGAUAGUACUGAUGCAGAUUCCCUGAUCAGCCCUGAAUUUGUUCUCAAGGUUCUGUCUCCUGCCUCAGCAGUCACCAGUAAUCAGAAGACUCUUCCUCCUGAAGCAGUGCCCAUCAUUGGACCUGUUGUUGGUGCCAUGGCCACUCUGCUAGGAUUGGCGAUGGUAUUACUGUUAACACGAAGGAGGUGUCACCACUAGCAAAUGAUCUCGGAGCAGAUAAGGAUGCAGCUCGUGCCACUCCAACCAACCGACCAGAACCAAGACAACAGGUCUGGUCAUCACGACUAGAUCCUGAAACACAUCUGCACACACACCUGCACGCACACACAAACUCACGCCGAAUCAAGUAUUGAUCUUCAUGAAAGAUCUGAAAUCCCUGAGAAAUCAUCUCUUUUAUAGCAUAACUGUCAUAAUUCAAUAUCAAUAUGCAUGGUGAUGUUCAUUUCUCUUUUAUAUACAUUGUAUUUCCAAACUGUGAUUUAUUUCAAUCUUUACACUAUUACUGUAAUCCCCAAAGUGAUUUAAAAGACAUAAUAAAUCCUACGUUUUAUAUCA
Molecule: long non-coding RNA, 1139 nt
Organism: Hypomesus transpacificus
Lineage: Eukaryota; Metazoa; Chordata; Actinopteri; Osmeriformes; Osmeridae
Exons: 4
Source: RefSeq, a predicted model, not a curated record